UACAGAGGUGGCGAGCGUUACUCGGAUUUAUUGGGUGUAAAGGGCAGGUAGGCGGCUACGUAAGUUGGAGGUGAAAUCCUAUGGCUCAACCAUAGAACUGCCUCCAAAACUGCAUAGCUUGAGGCUAGAAGAGGAGAACGGAAUUCCCGGUGUAAGGGUGAAAUCUGUAGAUAUCGGGAAGAACACCAGUGGCGAAAGCGGUUCUCUGGUCUAGCUCUGACGCUGAGCUGCGAAAGCUAGGGGAG
Molecule: ribosomal RNA, 245 nt
Filed under: uncultured bacterium
Lineage: Bacteria
Description: partial 16S ribosomal RNA
Rfam family: Bacterial small subunit ribosomal RNA
Source: RNAcentral